Molecule: long non-coding RNA, 1073 nt
Filed under: Nicotiana tabacum (common tobacco)
Lineage: Eukaryota; Viridiplantae; Streptophyta; Magnoliopsida; Solanales; Solanaceae
Description: long non-coding RNA (NTAB_LNC007741)
Source: RNAcentral
GUUGUUUCAAAUUAUUACCUUUUUGUUUCUGCGACUUGGAAAUUUUAUGUUGCUAGAGUAGCUUCUUUUCUUGUGGUUGAGCUUUUGGUUUGUUGAUUCAUCAACUGAUACUCCAAUGUGUAGGUUCAAGUUUCUUAGCAUGUGCAACUGUUUUAUCUCUGCAGAUUUUAGCAAUUGCUGUAAAGUUUUAACCUCAAAGCCGUAAACUGUCCUGAAAUGAUAAGCCUGAAUUUUUCGUCCUACUGAACGAUAUCAAACAUUUACUAAAUCACAAGACUUCAUACACAUUGUCCGUAUUGAUCUUCUCUAAGCUAAUAUGGGGAUAUCAUGGUUUAUGUUUCCAAGUUUCAUAUUGAGUCAAAUUAUACCUUAUAGACCAAUAUAAUGCCAAUGGACACUUGAUAUCUUAACAAUUCCUUUAUACUAACAAAAGCUAAAGGAAAAAAAAAAUGCUGUUAUAUGCAAGAAUCACUGGUAUGCUAUGCUUUGGUAUCUCUAGACGGACUCGAUCUAUCUAGACUCUGUUGUCAUUCAAAUAUUGUCUGCAUUACUAACCUUGACUCAUGCUUUGUCGUUCCAUUCGGAAUUAAUCAACAGGUCAGGGGGUGGUAGUGGUGGAACCCCUGCCAAGGAUGCAUUAGGUAAUGAUGUCAUUGCAUCUGAAUGGCUCAAAACUCAUCCACCCGGCAACCGAACUCUCACGCAAGGACUAAAGGUACUGUUACCUUUUCUUUUAUCGCAUCACAAUUUAUUUGUGAAUUCAGUGUUUGCUUGAUGAUCUUAAGAUUACAAGAAAUGACAUCUUGUUCAUGGCAUCGUUUGGACAAUUAUACUAACAUGGUAGUUUGAUUUAUUCUGGUGUUGUGAUAUUGUUUUCGAUGAAAUUUUAGGGAGAUCCUACUUACCUUGUUGUGGAGAAUGAUGGAACACUUGCAACCUAUGGUAUUAAUGCUGUGUGUACUCACCUUGGUUGUGUUGUGCCAUUUAAUGCUGCUGAGAACAAGUUUAUUUGCCCCUGCCAUGGAUCUCAAUAUAACAACCAAGGAAGAGUUGUUAGAGGACCUGCUCCUUUG